AUUGAACGCUGGCGGCAGGCCUAACACAUGCAAGUCGAACGGUAACACAGUGAGAGUUUGUUCUUUGCUGUGGCGUGGCGGGGGGGUGAGAGGUGUAUAGCGAACUCUCUGUUUUCGGGGGGUAACAAGUAGAAACGGUUACUAUUAUAGCGCAUCCUCCCAAGACCUGAGAGGAGGGGAUCUUCGCCCCUUGCGCGCUUGAAUGCGCCGAUGUGGGAUUAGCUAGUAGGUGGGGUAAAGGCCCACCUAGGCGACGAUCCGUAGCUGGUCUGAGAGGAUGAUCAGCCACACUGGAACUGAGACACGGUCCAGACUCCUACGGGAGGCAGCAGUGGGGAAUAUUGGACAAUGGGCGCAAGCCUGAUGCAGCCAUGCCGCGUGUGUGAAGAAGGCCUUCGGGUUGUAAAGUACUUUUGUCGGGGAGGAAAAGAGGAAGGUUAAUACCUUGGUUUAUUGACGGUACCCGCAGAAGAAGCACCGGCUAACUCCGUG
Molecule: ribosomal RNA, 492 nt
Filed under: uncultured bacterium
Lineage: Bacteria
Description: partial 16S ribosomal RNA
Rfam family: Bacterial small subunit ribosomal RNA
Source: RNAcentral